CAUCAGCGUGCUCCGGGCGU
RNAcentral lists this non-coding RNA (20 nucleotides) under Arabidopsis thaliana (thale cress). The record is from RNAcentral. Lineage: Eukaryota; Viridiplantae; Streptophyta; Magnoliopsida; Brassicales; Brassicaceae.